UAGAUGAAUGCUCGCUGGCUUGAGCGCCUAGCUGUUAACUAGGAGUCUGUAGGAUCGAGGCCUUCUCAUCUAG
Molecule: transfer RNA, 73 nt
Filed under: Pareuchiloglanis sinensis
Lineage: Eukaryota; Metazoa; Chordata; Actinopteri; Siluriformes; Sisoridae
Also listed under: 3 other names
Description: tRNA-Asn
Rfam family: tRNA
About the family: Transfer RNA (tRNA) molecules are approximately 80 nucleotides in length. Their secondary structure includes four short double-helical elements and three loops (D, anti-codon, and T loops). Further hydrogen bonds mediate the characteristic L-shaped molecular structure. tRNAs have two regions of fundamental functional importance: the anti-codon, which is responsible for specific mRNA codon recognition, and the 3' end, to which the tRNAs corresponding amino acid is attached (by aminoacyl-tRNA synthetases). tRNAs cope with the degeneracy of the genetic code in two manners: having more than one tRNA (with a specific anti-codon) for a particular amino acid; and 'wobble' base-pairing, i.e. permitting non-standard base-pairing at the 3rd anti-codon position.
Source: RNAcentral